This 2027-nucleotide long non-coding RNA is filed under the name Triticum aestivum (bread wheat). RNAcentral's name for it is "long non-coding RNA (TAES_LNC008875)". Lineage: Eukaryota; Viridiplantae; Streptophyta; Magnoliopsida; Poales; Poaceae. The record is from RNAcentral.
CCCGCGUCACCCACAACACUCACUCCACUCACCCUCUCUUCUUCCUGUCACCCUCACUCUCGUCGCCCUCUCUUCUCCCCACCACCUCGCCCACCUCGCCGGUCACCACCUCGCCCACCUCGCCGGCCACCAUCUCUCCUCGUCGCCGCCAUGUUUCUCCCGCCUCCACUCACACCCGUCGUCCACUCGCACCUCGCUCCACUCACACCCAACAUCCGAGGUCAAGCUUUGAUGUGCCUGCUCUGGAUCUGGCGACGGAGGCGGUGGAUGCGGGAGAUGGGGAGGAGGCCAUCGCGGUGGUGUGCCUGGACCACAUCCUCAAGCACGCCAGUGGCGCCACGGAGGAGGCCGAGCGCAUCCGCCACUGCCACAACACCGACGGCUCCAUGGAGUACUGGCUCGAGCCGGACGAGCUCGCGGCCCUGCGCCGGGAGGUCGGCGCCGACCCGUACUGGGUGCCGCCAGGGUGGAAGCGCGGAGACCCCGUGUCCGCUGAUUGCUACGCGCUCAAUGCAAAGAUGCAGGUGGAGGAGCACAGCAAGGAGCUCGCCGGAGUAAAAAGGACUCUUUUUCCCCUUCUCCUGUCAUCUUCUCUUGCUCUGCUUGCUUGCUUGGAGCAGUAGACCUUGUAGACAUUUGUGCAAGCAGUAGCAGACAGAUUUGUGCAAGAUUGCUGCUCUUCUCUUCUCUUCUUGUUCUUGGAGCAAGCAGCAGCAGAUGGAUUUGUCCAAGUAGACUUCAACAAACAGAUUGGAGCAGACAUGUUUAGCAGGCAAAUUGUUUGGUGUUUGCUUGCUUUAGACAGACAGGUUUAGCACACAUGCUUGCAUUGCAGACAAACAGGUUGUGCAAGAACACCGCAAAAGCAAGUAGACCUGCUUGCAGUAGCUCUUAGGUGAAUUUUAGGUGAAGUACAGACCGGUUCAAAUCCUUUUAAAUUUUUGUAGUACUGCCUAAUGAUUGUGCUGAAUUUUGAAGUGCAGACAAAGCAAGCAAAAAUCAACUGAAGAUUAACUGCAGUAGUCACAUUAGUUCUUGCAGUAGUCAGAUUCAGUAGUUCUUGCAGUAGUCAGAUUCAGUAGCCGGAGUACUUGCAAUAGUUCUUUGAUCAACACCAUCAGAACAGUAAUCGCACCAUCCAGCUCAACACAUUCAGUCCAAAUUGCAGAGUAGUACUGUAAUUUAAGUGUAGGAUCAACGAAAGAGUACUGUGAUACACAUGCCCAAAUUUUUGUCUGGCAUAAUUAUACACAUGGGAAAGCCCAAUUAAUCAGCAACAAUCAUUUCAUUUAAUCUUCUGGCAUAAUUAUUCUGGUGUACUCCAGUUAAUCUUCUGGCAUAAUUAUUCUGGUGUACUCCAUGUUUUACUGUGAUACACAUGGAGUAAUUUUCAUACACUGGAACAUAAUUUUCCAGACAGAAAAUCAUAAUGUUUCAGUUGAACAAAAAAUCAUUUCAGACAGAAAAUUAUCACCAAUUAGGCUGAACUAAUUUUCUAGUUAAUUUCCUCCUCAUCUCCAGUCACCAAUUAGGCUGGUGAAUCUUCCACUAUUUUGGUGUUGCACAUUUGCUUAGUGGUGCUUGUAUCUCAUGCUUAGUGUUGCAUGAGUAGUUUCAGUAGUUUUACAGCAGCAGUACUCUUUCCAAUUGGCAAGUUUCAGUAGCAGAAAUUUAAUUGAGUAGUAUUAAAAUUUCCAGAUUAAAGAAUUUGGAGUAGGACUUGAUGCUAUGAGUAAUUUGGAGUAAAUUUAGAUUAAAGAAUUUGGAGUAGCACUGUAAUAAUUGUGCAGCUCAGGAGUAUUCUUGCCAAUUCAGUUAAUUAAAUUUCAUUUAACUAAAACUAAAUGAAUCUUUUUCCUUUAUGUAAAACUAAGUGAAUUUUUUUCUAUUAAUUUAACAGUUGCAGUAGUGUAGGACAUCAGUAGUUUAGUGUAGGACAGCAGUGGUUUAGUGUAGGACAGCAGUAGUUUAGUGUAAGUUUCAGUUCAUUAACUGAAUUUUUUCAGUUACUUAACUGAAACUUUUUC